Molecule: ribosomal RNA, 976 nt
Filed under: Lactiplantibacillus plantarum
Lineage: Bacteria; Bacillati; Bacillota; Bacilli; Lactobacillales; Lactobacillaceae
Description: bacterial SSU rRNA
Rfam family: Bacterial small subunit ribosomal RNA
Source: RNAcentral
GGCGGCCAGCCUAUACAUGCAAGUCGAACGAACUCUGGUAUUGAUUGGUGCUUGCAUCAUGAUUUACAUUUGAGUGAGUGGCGAACUGGUGAGUAACACGUGGGAAACCUGCCCAGAAGCGGGGGAUAACACCUGGAAACAGAUGCUAAUACCGCAUAACAACUUGGACCGCAUGGUCCGAGUUUGAAAGAUGGCUUCGGCUAUCACUUUUGGAUGGUCCCGCGGCGUAUUAGCUAGAUGGUGGGGUAACGGCUCACCAUGGCAAUGAUACGUAGCCGACCUGAGAGGGUAAUCGGCCACAUUGGGACUGAGACACGGCCCAAACUCCUACGGGAGGCAGCAGUAGGGAAUCUUCCACAAUGGACGAAAGUCUGAUGGAGCAACGCCGCGUGAGUGAAGAAGGGUUUCGGCUCGUAAAACUCUGUUGUUAAAGAAGAACAUAUCUGAGAGUAACUGUUCAGGUAUUGACGGUAUUUAACCAGAAAGCCACGGCUAACUACGUGCCAGCAGCCGCGGUAAUACGUAGGUGGCAAGCGUUGUCCGGAUUUAUUGGGCGUAAAGCGAGCGCAGGCGGUUUUUUAAGUCUGAUGUGAAAGCCUUCGGCUCAACCGAAGAAGUGCAUCGGAAACUGGGAAACUUGAGUGCAGAAGAGGACAGUGGAACUCCAUGUGUAGCGGUGAAAUGCGUAGAUAUAUGGAAGAACACCAGUGGCGAAGGCGGCUGUCUGGUCUGUAACUGACGCUGAGGCUCGAAAGUAUGGGUAGCAAACAGGAUUAGAUACCCUGGUAGUCCAUACCGUAAACGAUGAAUGCUAAGUGUUGGAGGGUUUCCGCCCUUCAGUGCUGCAGCUAACGCAUUAAGCAUUCCGCCUGGGGAGUACGGCCGCAAGGCUGAAACUCAAAGGAAUUGACGGGUGCCCGCACAAGCGGUGGAGCAUGUGUUUUAAUUCGGAGCUACGCGAAGAACCUUACCAGGU